Molecule: long non-coding RNA, 1308 nt
Filed under: Sus scrofa (pig)
Lineage: Eukaryota; Metazoa; Chordata; Mammalia; Artiodactyla; Suidae
Description: lncRNA (ENSSSCG00050031077.1)
Source: RNAcentral
AGCUGCGUGGUGACAGGAACUUGUGGGUGAAGCUGAUUCUGAGCCCAUAGGAUUGCUUUACCGCCUUCCUUAAUUUAUACAGUUACUGAAGUCUUACCAUUUACGGGAAACUGCUGACACUGGGAGAACCAGAGGUGGCUCAGACACAGACUGUCAUCUCUAGACCCAGAGCACAGCAACAGAGAAGACAGAGGUGCUGAUACAAGGCCCAGCAUACGAAUGCAGAAGAAACUAUACUCAGGUCCCAGGGAAACACUGGGGGGAACACGGCAGCUGCAGAUGCUCCACUUGGCGUCCCGGGUUCUGAUAGAUUUGACCUUCAGACCAAUUAUGCACCCAGGAAAAAAGAAUUCAUAUCUGACUAUCUGCUUUCGGCUACAUAAGCACUGAGCGAGAUGAACUGGUUUUAUCCGCAUUAACAUCAGGGGUGGUAGCCAGUGCCCCUGGUACACACUCAUGCCAUCACUUGGCCGCUUCUCCCUUAUUUAGCUCACCCUCCCACCCAAGACUCAAGCAAAUGUACCAGUAACUGUCGGAUCCUGAACUCAAACUAAUGACAGACAUUAAAACUCUUGCUUAUUAGAAAACAGCUAUGCUCUUAAUGUAAAAGUAGGAAAAAAUAAGUCUUAUUGGAAGGACACCAUGCCAGCCCCCCUAUACCUUCUUUGUGCCUCAUGUCAACUCACUAAAAUACCUAUUAAUAUCCGCACAUAUAACUGAGGAAACAAGCUCAGCAAGAUAAGCUAAUUUCCUUACUUAAUCACCAUACAUUUUGUUCAUCUAUAUAUUUCAUGUCUGGGGUAUAAAGAUGAAUAAGACUGACCCCGCCCCCCCCAACUGGUUGGAGCACAGGGAGGUAGGAUGUUUGAGGUUUGGGGGAUGGGAGGAUGUAAGAGACCAUCGAGGGCUACCACACAGCACCAUGUGGUAGGAGCACUGUGCGAGUGUGAUAAAUGCUCUGAGAGGACAGCCGUGAAGCGAUCGGGAGCGGUCCACGCAGUUGGAGUUUUGCAGGUGUACUGGGAGCAGGAGGGGGAAUUAUGGGGUGAUAUGGGUAGGACUUCCCGGAGAACUGGAGAAGAUGAAUGUGGGUUUACCCGGAAGACUACAUGUGUCAGACCUGGAAAGCUUAAAAUAGAAGAACAAGGAAGCAGGAGAAGCACCAGGAGACGGGAAGAUACCUCUGAGAGUUAACCUACAGGAUCGGCAUUCCUGACUGCAGCUGUGCCAUGGACAUAAUAGAAUCUACAACUGAUGAGCCCAUGCUCAGAGGCAAAAAGGGGAAAAGUCUCCAAGAGAUGCUGAGAG